Cylindrobasidium torrendii FP15055 ss-10 is the source of this 85-nucleotide transfer RNA. It matches the Rfam family "tRNA". From Rfam's summary of the family: Transfer RNA (tRNA) molecules are approximately 80 nucleotides in length. Their secondary structure includes four short double-helical elements and three loops (D, anti-codon, and T loops). NCBI's taxonomy places the organism in Eukaryota, Fungi, Basidiomycota, Agaricomycetes, Agaricales, Physalacriaceae. The record is from Rfam.
GCCCGUUUAGCUCAGUGGUAGAGCGCGCCACUUGUAUGACAGAAAGCAAAUGGUGAGGUCGGUUGUUCAAUCCAGCCAAUGGGCA